UACGACGGGGGCUAGCGUUGCUCGGAAUCACUGGGCGUAAAGCGCACGUAGGCGGAUCUUUAAGUCAGGGGUGAAAUCCCGGAGCUCAACUCCGGAACUGCCUUUGAUACUGAAGACCUUGAGUCCGGGAGAGGUGAGUGGAACUGCGAGUGUAGAGGUGAAAUUCGUAGAUAUUCGCAAGAACACCAGUGGCGAAGGCGGCUCACUGGCCCGGUACUGACGCUGAGGUGCGAAAGCGUGGGGAGCAAACAGG
Molecule: ribosomal RNA, 253 nt
Filed under: uncultured bacterium
Lineage: Bacteria
Description: partial 16S ribosomal RNA
Rfam family: Bacterial small subunit ribosomal RNA
Source: RNAcentral